CGCCCUCAUUAAAACCUGAGCGAGCAGCGACAGUCCGCCAUAUUUAUCUCCUUGCAAGAGCCGCUUGUGCCAAAUUGAGAAUGUCCCAGCUACGAGGUAAACACGCCAGAUGUUCUGUUGUUGGCUGCAAGAGCAAGCACAAGAGUCUUCAUGCACUCCCGGCAUCUGAGCCACAGAAGACACAGUGGAUUAGUUUUAUUUUUGAUGGCAAUGUGCCCACAACAAUAGUAAAAUCCAUAUAUGUUUGUGCAAACCAUUUUACGUCGGACUGCUUCAUCAACGAGGGUCAACACAAGGCUGGAUUUGCUUCCAAGCUAAGGAUCAAGGAUGGAUCGAUACCAACUCUCCGUGACCCAGCUUCAGAUUUACAAGUCUUGACCUAUCAGCCCAAAUUGCUUUGUGAGAUUGGGUGCCAGACAGAUGAAGCUUUCAAAAAAGAUGCUGCCUGCCAGACAAAUCUUGAAGCGCCCAUCAAGAAAGAAACCAUAAAAGAAGAACACAAGCCACUACCGCUGCUGGAGACAUACAAUAUCAUCACUGUAAAAAAGGAGGAGGAACUUUGGGACAGCUGAGGAGAAGCCUCACAUAUGGCAUGGCUAGUGGAUCUUCUCUUUAACUGCGUGUUGGAGGAGCCCCAGUAGUUUCAGGACCUUCACAAGAAAAUUGUAGGUUCCGGAACACCUUUUCACACAAUUGGAAAGACCUAAAAAGUGGGAGGCUGUGGCACUGCACACGUCACGCUUUAAACCCAUGGACACCAAAGAAAAAACACACUCUUUUUAUGCAUAUCUGCACUGCAGUCAAUAAAUAAAAGUUUUCAUUUGAAUAAAA
Long non-coding RNA from Myxocyprinus asiaticus (Chinese sucker), 831 nucleotides. RefSeq lists it as uncharacterized. Lineage: Eukaryota; Metazoa; Chordata; Actinopteri; Cypriniformes; Catostomidae. The record is from RefSeq and is a predicted model, not a curated record. The transcript is spliced from 3 exons.